This 306-nucleotide unclassified non-coding RNA is filed under the name Hevea brasiliensis (rubber tree). Lineage: Eukaryota; Viridiplantae; Streptophyta; Magnoliopsida; Malpighiales; Euphorbiaceae. The record is from RNAcentral.
GAGCGAUUCUGACAACUGAGAACUUAAGGAAGAGAAAUAUCACUCAUGUUAGCUCAUGCUUUAUGUGCAAGUGUUCGGGUGAAGAAGUUGAUCAUCUUAUUAGUGCAUUACAGAGUGGCAUCGAGUUUGUGGAGGGUGCCUUGGUGUACAAUGGAUAAUAACGGUUACCGUUAGAGAUGUUCUCCACAGUUGGGCUCGAAGACGUUGUUGUAGAGGCAAAACGCAUGGAAGGUUGCUCCAUUAGCUCUUAUGUGUGUUAUAUGGAACAAGAGAAAUAUGAGAGCUUUUGAGGUGAUCGAAAAUGAG